RNAcentral lists this long non-coding RNA (220 nucleotides) under Elaeis guineensis (African oil palm). RNAcentral describes it as "long non-coding RNA (EGUI_LNC079853)". Lineage: Eukaryota; Viridiplantae; Streptophyta; Magnoliopsida; Arecales; Arecaceae. The record is from RNAcentral.
CAGGAGCAAGAAACCCUAGGGUUUCUUGCCGCCAGAUCCAUAGAAGGCAGGAAAAGCAGGGGAGGCGCUAGCCCCUCCCCCUUUGUGCCACCAACCAUAUUGCCUCUCCCUCUCUUGCAGCCAUCCAAAAAUUAGGUCCAGAACUUGGAAUCUCUUGCUAUGAGGUUAGUACAAGUUUUGCUCAAAUCUAGAGUUGAUCUGAGGUCGUUUGAGGUGCGGG